GGUAAAAAAAAGGUAAGCUACUAAGAGCGAAUGGUGGAUGCCUUGACUGGUAAAGGCGAUGAAGGACGUACUAGACUGCGAUAAGCUACGGGGAGCUGUCAAGAAGCUUUGAUCCGUAGAUUUCCGAAUGGGGCAACCCAAUGUAUAGAGAUAUACAUUACCUAUAUAGGAGCGAACGAGGGGAAUUGAAACAUCUUAGUACUCUCAGGAAAAGAAAUCAAUAGAGAUUGCGUCAGUAGCGGCGAGCGAAAGCGCAAGAGGGCAAACCCAGUGCUUGCACUGGGGGUUG
RNAcentral lists this ribosomal RNA (289 nucleotides) under Campylobacter jejuni. Its description in RNAcentral is "partial 23S ribosomal RNA". It matches the Rfam family "Bacterial large subunit ribosomal RNA", at positions 1 to 300 of the family's 2925-position model. The record is from RNAcentral. Lineage: Bacteria; Pseudomonadati; Campylobacterota; Epsilonproteobacteria; Campylobacterales; Campylobacteraceae.